GAUGAACGCUCGCGGCAGGCCUAACACAUGCAAGUCGAGGGAGAGGUUACCUUCGGGUAACCAAAACCGGCGCACGGGUGCGUAACGCGUAUACAAUCUGCCUUUCACAUAGGGAUAGCCCGAAGAAAUUUGGAUUAAUACCUAAUGGUAUAUAAGAGCGGCAUCGUUUUUAUAUUAAAGCUACGGUGGUGAAAGAUGAGUAUGCGUUCUAUUAGCUAGUUGGAGAGAUAACGGCUCCCCAAGGCGACGAUAGAUAGGGGUUCUGAGAGGGAUGUCCCCCACACUGGUACUGAGAUACGGACCAGACUCCUACGGGAGGCAGCAGUGAGGAAUAUUGGACAAUGGUCGGAAGACUGAUCCAGCCAUGCCGCGUGCAGGAUGAAGGUCCUAUGGAUUGUAAACUGCUUUUGUAAGGGAAGAAUAAGGAGUACGUGUACUUUGAUGACGGUACCUUACGAAUAAGCAUCGGCUAACUCCGUG
This 480-nucleotide ribosomal RNA is filed under the name uncultured bacterium. RNAcentral's name for it is "partial 16S ribosomal RNA". It matches the Rfam family "Bacterial small subunit ribosomal RNA", at positions 28 to 507 of the family's 1533-position model. The record is from RNAcentral.